Long non-coding RNA from Platichthys flesus (European flounder), 713 nucleotides. RefSeq lists it as uncharacterized. The record is from RefSeq and is a predicted model, not a curated record. The transcript is spliced from 3 exons. Lineage: Eukaryota; Metazoa; Chordata; Actinopteri; Pleuronectiformes; Pleuronectidae.
GGCUGUAAUAUUACCUCCGCUCUUAAAAUAUCCUUCAGUGUUUUGUAAUCAGCUACAGAUGCCAACACAGCAGCUACCCUCCCCGUCAGGAACAAACCCCCCCCAACCCCCAUCACGCUCACCGAGAAGUCUCUUUUAGGCGCCAGUCGCUUGGGGAAGUGGUUGAAGGCGUACAGCUUGGUGCAGACUGGGUAGCGGUUCCGAUGGAUCUUGUAGAACAGUAAGUGUAGAGAUCGAGGACACAGCAGGUUCCCACCACUGCCUCCAGGGGGAUGAUCUCGUAGAGCGGCAUCCGGAACAGCUCGUUCUGAUAGAACCGUCGUGAUGGAGAAUGAUGCGUCUCGUGAGGACGGAAGUAGUGAUGGCCAAAGGCAAACCUCUCACCCCUUCAGAGAUGGAGAAUAUUAAACACUUUGACACAACUCCACACCAAACAAUGACAAGCAAUUACAACUUUAUUUUCCUCACAGUAAGACAUGUUAAGGGCAUCAUCUGGUUGAACUUACUUUUCAUUCUUCCAGAGUUUCUCAAUUCGGAAGAUGUCAAGCUUAUCUCGGUUGACGUGGGACAGGAGACGAUGCACCGGAUGAUGUCGUCGUCCUUGUCAUGGGACCCCGGCCCUCCUCCUCCGUGGUCCCGCUCCAGUGAAUCCGAGCUGUCGGCCUCGCUGGCAGUCUCGCCCACGAUCUCAUCAAUCUGGACGGCGGCUUCAU